UAUAUUUCAGGGGUGUCCAGCAUGUCUAGUCAGGUUGACAGAAGUGAAAGAUGUCUGAUGGUACAGUGAUGUACAAAUGAUACUCUUUAACAAGUUUAACAUGUCAAAGUGUAAAAUGUUCUGUGGAUUCAUAUGAUGAGAAUGCCAAUGUUGAUCUGUAUGACUUAAUUAAACACAGAUAUUUAUACCUUCAGAUAUAUACCUGUGAAAUCUUCAGUGUCACCGUUCAGCUAUUGUUCAAGAUCAGUGUCUGCAGCUUGCACAGUUUAGUAUAGAGGAGCCUUCUGAAUCAAUUUUGUUACAUAUUUUGCUGUUAUUGUAGGACGCAUAUGUAGAGAGCAACAAGUCCUGUCCAACUGUGCAUGUAAAUGUGAUUCAGAAACUUUGAGAAUAUGUAAACAUUACACUGUUAUAAUUUUCAAAAUACUGUGUCUUGUAGUGUAUCAGUACUGUUUUGUCUCAGUUUAUAGCACAGUAUGUCCACAAAUCAAACUUAAGAUCAUAGUUAUCAGUAUUAUUAAAAUCAUUAAUUAUUUGUAUGGUGACAAAAUUUAAUUUCAUGCAAUACCACAGUAAAACGUUUGAUAAUUUUCGUUUUUAAAGUUGUAAGUUUAAAGUUGGCAUAAAUUGAUUUUCUCCUUCAUUAAUCUAAAAAGCGAUUGGUCAUUAUAAUUGCAAUAUCAUUUUAGUGUGACAAAGUUUAUAUUGAACUAAAACGCUAAUGUAAAUUUUUGAACUAUUCAAUGCAUUUUCUUCAGUCUUAAAACAUUUGUUUAUCGUACAUGUCAUUAUCCAUAACUCCUCCAUAUUACUUGUGUAGGAUAGGUAGAGGUAUUGCACAUCCAUUUUUUAGCAUCCUGAUUUUGUAAAGUGUUGUAUGUAAGGUUUUAUCUUGGAAUAAUGUCUCAUCUAAAGGUGGGGAGAGGUAUUGUUUAUGCCUUCUCGUCUAUCCGCAUUAAGCCUGUCUGGCUUUAAGAGGACAAGUUGCUGGCCAGAUUUUGAUAAAACUUCAUAGGAAUGAUCAGUACCAAGCAUAGUG
Molecule: long non-coding RNA, 1039 nt
Organism: Mercenaria mercenaria
Lineage: Eukaryota; Metazoa; Mollusca; Bivalvia; Venerida; Veneridae
Exons: 3
Source: RefSeq, a predicted model, not a curated record